This 472-nucleotide ribosomal RNA is filed under the name uncultured Anaerolineaceae bacterium. RNAcentral describes it as "bacterial SSU rRNA". It matches the Rfam family "Bacterial small subunit ribosomal RNA", at positions 897 to 1382 of the family's 1533-position model. Lineage: Bacteria; Bacillati; Chloroflexota; Anaerolineae; Anaerolineales; Anaerolineaceae. The record is from RNAcentral.
AAACUUAAAUGAAUUGACGGGGGCCCGCACAAGCAGCGGAGCGUGUGGUUUAAUUCGAGGCAACACGAAGAACCUUACCUGGGCUUGACAUGUUCGUGGUAGUGAAGCGAAAGCGGAUCGACCCUUCGGGGAGCGUUCACAGGUGCUGCAUGGCUGUCGUCAGCUCGUGCCGUGAGGUGUUCGGUUAAGUCCGGUAACGAGCGCAACCCUUGCUGUUAGUUACAAGUGUCUAACGGGACUGCCGGUUUAAUACCGGAGGAAGGUGGGAUGACGUCAAGUCAGCAUGGCCUCUAUGUCCAGGGCUACACACACGCUACAAUGGCCGGUACAGUGGGUUGCCAAACCGCGAGGUGGAGCUAAUCCUCAAAGCCGGUCUCAGUUCGGAUUGUAGGCUGCAACUCGCCUGCAUGAAGUCGGAGUUGCUAGUAACCGCGCGUCAGCUAUAGCGCGGUGAACUACGUUCCCGAGCCUU